This 1489-nucleotide unclassified non-coding RNA is filed under the name Hevea brasiliensis (rubber tree). Lineage: Eukaryota; Viridiplantae; Streptophyta; Magnoliopsida; Malpighiales; Euphorbiaceae. The record is from RNAcentral.
GCAAUAGUGCGUUGGUACCUAAAAUCCCAAACGCGAACGGAACCUAUAAAAGCAAACUCCUUACUCCGAAACCGAAAGAUACUUUUGAGAAGGAGAGCGGCCAUGGUACACCAUCUUAAACUCCUCUGCCCCCCGCACCAAAAAUCUCCAAGCGCCUUACAGAGGGCGUGGAAUCAACGAACCAAUGACCUUCUGCUUACUGGUGAGGAAAGAAUUUUUGACUGGAUUAGAUCAUCACGGUCAAUUGGUCACUGUCUUACAGAUGGUAAAAAGAUUGGACGUGGGUUUCACACUCUGAAAUGGAGAUGUGAGAUUGGAUGGAUUUUUUCUUUUUUACAUCAAUUUAAAAAUUAAAAGCAGUGUCAGUCUUCAAUCAUGAGCCUACGUGUAUUGGAAGUUUUGGGAGAGUAGAAACGUACAGUAAAUAGGUCUGCCCUAAAAAUGAAAGGACCUGAUACUGCCCUAGGAUAAUAAUUAUUUUUCUAAAAAAAAAUAAGUGAAAGAACAACGGUGGCAGACAUGCAUGAAGCCAUGAACAAUGAAAUCUCCACCUUUGAUUGUGAUCUGACAAAUAAUCUACACUUAUGAUGAUUACAAUUUAACAGCUUUAAUCCAAAGACCACUUAUGGAGCUCAGGAGCUACCGUUGAGUUACUCAGCCUCUUCGAAGACUUCAGAAGCAAAGAUCAAGCCUUUAUAAUUCAUACCCUCGAAUCCAUUUCGACUUUGAGCCCUAAUUCCCUGGCUUGGAGCAAGAGAAAAGGACAGAUAAAACCCUAGAUCGAAAGCGACAUAAACGAAGCAGAUAUGUAUAUAUGCACUGCUUGAUGAAUUAGAAGGAAACAAACAAAAUCAGAUAAAUGAAAAGGGGAAAGAGGAUAGUAAAAUGAAAGUUCCCCACCUAAGCCAUACCUGAAGAUCUAGAAAAACCAAACUGAAGACCUGUGAAUGAUGUGUUGCAGAUAAUUGAAACCUGCAAAAGUACUUUGGAUGAUAAAAGGAAGUACCUUUAAGAUAUAUGUUCCUUUCUUUUCCGAUAUUUCCCCCCUCUUCUUACGGAAGUGAAGUUGGGGUGAUAAGAGUAGGGGCCAUGAGGGCAAGAAAGAAUCUACCAAUAUCUUGGUCUUUCUCAAAGGGGAGUGAGAGAGAACCGAUUCAACUGAAGGAUACAUCACGAGGGUUUUACAAAGAGAGACCAACAGAGCUCAGUUGGCAGUAUGCCCACCUCCAUAUCAGAAAGAGAGGAGAUUUCUACAGAGGGGAGGUGGACAGAAUGCCAAUAAACUCUGUAAGAAACCCUUUGUUAAACCUACAUGAAAGCUAAAACUGUACUCCUUGUAUUCACCAUAGGAGGACGACACAAACACACAAAAAUAAGGCGAUAGAAAGUGAAAUAACAAUUUUUUUGGACAAUAGAGAUAGAUGAGGCAGAUGGGUUUAUUUAAGAUGCGAGGACAGCAGCACAGUAAAUGAGAGAGAGAGAGAGAGAG